This 265-nucleotide ribosomal RNA is filed under the name uncultured bacterium. RNAcentral's name for it is "partial 16S ribosomal RNA". It matches the Rfam family "Bacterial small subunit ribosomal RNA", at positions 523 to 776 of the family's 1533-position model. The record is from RNAcentral.
UAGCGUAGGGCGCAAGCGUUAUCCGGAAUUAUUGGGCGUAAAGAGCUCGUAGGCGGUUUUGUCGCGUCUGCCGUGAAAAGUCCGGGGGCUCAACUCCGGAUCUGCGGUGGGGUACGGGCAGACUAGAGUGAUGUAGGGGGAGACUGGAAUUCCUGGAUGUAGCGGUGAAAUGCGCAGAUAUCAGGAGGAACACCGAUGGCGAAGGCAGGUCUCUGGGCAUUAAACUGACGCUGGAGGAGCGAAAAGCCAUGGGGAGCGAAACAGG